RNAcentral lists this transfer RNA (77 nucleotides) under Gemmobacter sp. Its description in RNAcentral is "tRNA-Lys". It matches the Rfam family "tRNA". Rfam says of the family: Transfer RNA (tRNA) molecules are approximately 80 nucleotides in length. Their secondary structure includes four short double-helical elements and three loops (D, anti-codon, and T loops). Further hydrogen bonds mediate the characteristic L-shaped molecular structure. tRNAs have two regions of fundamental functional importance: the anti-codon, which is responsible for specific mRNA codon recognition, and the 3' end, to which the tRNAs corresponding amino acid is attached (by aminoacyl-tRNA synthetases). tRNAs cope with the degeneracy of the genetic code in two manners: having more than one tRNA (with a specific anti-codon) for a particular amino acid; and 'wobble' base-pairing, i.e. permitting non-standard base-pairing at the 3rd anti-codon position. Lineage: Bacteria; Pseudomonadati; Pseudomonadota; Alphaproteobacteria; Rhodobacterales; Paracoccaceae. The record is from RNAcentral.
GGGCCCGUAGCUCAGAUGGUUAGAGCGGCUGACUUUUAAUCAGUAGGUCAUAGGUUCGAGUCCUAUCGGGCUCACCA